CCAGGUAAUAACAUGGCUAUAUACAGGGAGUACCAGGUAAUAACAUGGUUAUAUACAGGGAGUACCAGGUAAUAACAUGGCUAUAUACAGGGAGUACCAGGUAAUAACAUGGCUAUAUACAGGGAGGUAAUAACAUGGUGAUAUACAGGGA
Molecule: long non-coding RNA, 151 nt
Organism: Oncorhynchus keta (chum salmon)
Lineage: Eukaryota; Metazoa; Chordata; Actinopteri; Salmoniformes; Salmonidae
Exons: 3
Source: RefSeq, a predicted model, not a curated record